AGCGAACGCUGGCGGCGUGCUUAACACAUGCAAGUCGAACGUGAAAAGGGGCAACCCUGAGUAAAGUGGCGUACGGGUGAGUAACGCGUAGGUAAUCUACCGAAGAGUCCGGAAUAACCUGCCGAAAGGCGGGCUAAUACUGGAUAGAGCGACGGGAUCCGUAAUUGGGUCUUUCGGGAAAGGGAGGCAGCAAUGCCCUUCGCUCUUCGAUGAGCCUGCGUCUCAUUAGCUAGUUGGAGGGUAACGGACCUACCAAGGCGAUGAUGGGUAGCUGGUCUGAGAGGAUGAUCAGCCACACUGGAACUGAAACACGGUCCAGACUCCUACGGAGGC
Molecule: ribosomal RNA, 333 nt
Filed under: uncultured bacterium
Lineage: Bacteria
Description: bacterial SSU rRNA
Rfam family: Bacterial small subunit ribosomal RNA
Source: RNAcentral